AUCGUAUUUUUGGCGAUUGUACCGGUGUGGUGGUUUCAGGAGUUUUGCAAACACGUGACUGGAAGUCAAUUAAUCGGACAGGUGAGUAGGACGAUUGUAGCAUUUCAAUUACACCAAUAUGUUAGGAAUAUAAAUAUUUAGUUCAACUAGGGUUAUUGAACGAUUAUAACGUUACUGUAAUUCAAUACAUGCAAUUCAAUAAUUACCAAUACUAUAUGAUUUAAAACACUCUAUUGACGAGUUGCUAUGCUGCGUUGCUAUAGAUCAUUGAUUGAUUAUAUAAAAGUGCACAAGAUGAAUUGGGAUUUUAUUGUAUAACUAUCUGAUAUAAUGCAAACUAAUCUUUCUACUGUUUAGUCUAAUAUUUAUAACUUCUUAAACAAGCAAGGAGCCUGUAUAUCAGUGGUUGUUGUUUGUUUAUGUGUUACAUAUUUGUUUUCCGUUCAUUUUUUUUUAUAUAAAUAAGGCCGUUUGUUUUCUUGUUUGUAUUGUUUUACAUUGUCAUUUUGGGGCCUCCUUUUACAGCUGACUAUGCGGCAUGGGCUUUGUUCAUUGUUUAAGGCCGUACGAUGACCUAUAGUUGUUAAUUUCUGUGUCAUUCAGUCUCUUGUGGACAGUUGUCUAAUUGGCAAUCAUGCCACAUCUUCUUUUUAUAUCUAUUAUAGGGAUACACACGGAAUUAAAGAGGUACAUUUGAAAACUCCGAUUGUAAGUAUCUAAAUUUGACUUUUCUACUGUUGUGAAGAUUAUAUUAACUAUCAAUAGAAUUUCAUAUUAAAUGAAUAA
Molecule: long non-coding RNA, 786 nt
Filed under: Mytilus galloprovincialis (Mediterranean mussel)
Lineage: Eukaryota; Metazoa; Mollusca; Bivalvia; Mytilida; Mytilidae
Source: RNAcentral